CGCACUGCUCAGUAACACGUGGACAACCUGCCCUGAGGACUGGAAUAAUCCCGGGAAACUGGGGGUAAUUCCAGAUAUGUCAGAACUCCUGGAAUGGGUUCUGGCAGAAAGGCUCCGGCGCCUCAGGAUGGGUCUGCGGCCUAUCAGGGUAGUAGUGGGUGUAACGUACCUACUAGCCUACGACGGGUACGGGUUGUGAGAGCAAGAGCCCGGAGAUGGAUUCUGAGACAUGAAUCCAGGCCCUACGGGGUGCAGCAGGCGCGAAAACUUUACAAUGCGGGCAACCGCGAUAAGGGGACCUCGAGUGCUGGGUUACAAACCUGGCUGUUGGGCUGCCUAAAAAGCAGUCUAUAGCAAGGGCCGGGCAAGACCGGUGCCAGCCGCCGCGGUAACACCGGCGGCUCGAGUGGUAACCGCUAUUAUUGGGUCUAAAGGGUCUGUAGCCGGCCGACUAAGUCUCUUGGGAAAUCUGGCAUCUCAAGUGUCAGGCUGCCAGGGGAUACUGGUCGGCUUGGGACCGGGAGAGGUGAGAGGUACCUCGGGGGUAGGGGUGAAAUCUUGUAAUCCUCGGGGGACCACCAGUGGCGAAGGCGUCUCACC
Molecule: ribosomal RNA, 600 nt
Filed under: uncultured archaeon
Lineage: Archaea
Description: bacterial SSU rRNA
Rfam family: Archaeal small subunit ribosomal RNA
Source: RNAcentral